Molecule: long non-coding RNA, 4413 nt
Organism: Ctenopharyngodon idella (grass carp)
Lineage: Eukaryota; Metazoa; Chordata; Actinopteri; Cypriniformes; Xenocyprididae
Exons: 4
Source: RefSeq, a predicted model, not a curated record
UUGACAUUAAGCAUAGGCUGUUUUAAAAUUUUGCUCUUUGUACAUCAUGAUAUCUUAUGCAUAUUAGGCCUAUAUGAACAGAAAAAUUACUUUAAUUAAAAGUAUUGUUGUUAAAUACUGUAGACAUUGAUCCGAUCAAAAUCCAGGUAAAAACAACUUAUAUUUAACAAAAGAAAAUGACAUGUAUGGGUAGCGCAAAUAUGACUGUUUAAGCCCCGCCCCUCACUUCCGUUCUGUGGCUGCGGUUCUGAAACUGUGGUGCUGCGGGUCUGCAACUGGAUACUAUUGAAUCGACAAAACCCGGCUGAGUCAAAAACUGUUGGAUGUCUAAACAAAGAAAAAACAAUUUUCGUUAGGUUAUUCCACGUUUUCCUGACACAUUAACAAUAUAUAUCUGUGAAAACACGAAAGACACAUGUAGAACAUUUCACCUGUGAAAAAACUCGACAAACAGAUAUAGAAGUCAUUCAGACAUGGAUGAUAGAUUUCCACUGAGAGAUACAGAUAUUCGUGACCAUGAGUGAGCUGCUGCGGUUGUGUUCUGACACCGUCAGUCAGGUGGCGUGCUUUUUACAGCAAUCCUGUAUUAUUGCCUGGCAUAUUACAGCCAAAUUACAGGUAGCUUACAGCAACACUAAAAUAUACUGUAAAAUGUUCCUGCUUAAACAAAAUUACCCAGAAUGCAAUGCAAAUUAUAGUAUUUUACUGUAAUAUAAAAUGCAGUAUUGUACUGUAGGUUUUUACAGUAAUGUGCUGCUAAAUCUACAGCGGCAUUUAACAGUGUGAUUUGUCCAGUUUAUGAGCCGUUUUUAACUAGUUCUCAGUGCCGGUCACCACCAGGGGCUCAUUUUCUCUCAAAGAUAAUUUAAGUAGCGUAUCACUACAUAAUGUGAACAUAACUGCAUUCAGCUUUAGAGGAAAUGUAAUGUUAGUUCAGUACACAUCAAGACGUUCUUAUACGUGUUUCAGUGGCGGCUGGUCAAUAGAGUCCACUCCUGCCUGUCAGCGUGUCUCAAGUUCAGUUCUGGGGUGAUCGAGAAAUCGUCCACAGGAGGCGGGUUCAUGUAUUAUUUCAGUAUAGAGACAGAGCCCACACCGGAGGGAAAACAUUGGAGGGGAACGUAAUCAGCUACAGGUUAUGCUAAACAAACAAAGAAAGAAAACAUUCAUUAUUUUUAACCAUGUCAAAGAAUUAUUUCACCUGUCGCCGAUUACAUUCCCCUCCAAUGUAGUUAAAUAGUAAUAUGACCCGUUUCGCUCUCUCUCACUGCCUGUAUCCACUUUUGUGUCCUCAAACAUUAGUUUAGUUCCAAACACUGAUAGUUCCAGCACUGAACUCCACACAUUUUCAAUGUUUCUGAAGUACGCUCGCUGGUAAGUUGAUGAAAUUACUGUAUUUUCAACAUUUGAACGCAUUAGCCGACCUCUCAUGAAUCUAUAUAAUAGUUGUAUUUUAUGUAGCCAGCUUUAGUUAAUGUUUAUUGGAGGUAGGUAAACUCUUAAUUGCUGCUAGCUUAAGUAACAAACACUUAACUAAUAUUAGCUACCAUAAUCUGAUAUUGGGCUAUAUUUACCUCAAAUUUUCUUCAAGUUCGUUGACAUACAACGUUUAUCGUCGGUUUUUAGAUUUGUUGUUAAAGUGAUUAACACUUGUUUGCGACCGUAUUAGUACACCUGAUUACAAUUAACUUUAACUAGCUUAACUAGAAUUUUUUGUUUUUUAUUUAUUUUUGCUAGCUCAACUAGAUAACAUGGCUAGCUUGUAUCUAUCAAGGUUGUUCCUUGGUUAAUUUAGUCAUUGAAGUUACACAGACCGUUUGUUAGACAGUGCAUUGUGAUGAGUGAUAGGAUAUGUAGCAUAAAUGUGGAUGAUCCCAGCAAAUAAAAAGUAUAAUUGCAAAAAGAAAGAUUAUUAAUUUAUUUUUAAAUUGAAGAGGCAUGUGAGACAUGUGAAACCAUUUGAGACUGACAUUUGACCAAAAAACUGAAGUCAUGAUUUUAAUAGUUGUUAUUUAGUAUACAGUGAAGAAUUUCAGCUGCAUAACUCAUGUUCAUGGCUCUUAAAAAUUUUGAUGAAAGAAGCACAUGUACACUGCUUUGGUGACACAUUGAACUUUAAUCUAACAGUCCCGUGUGUGUAAUGGAACGUAUACAAGUGAAACCAGAAUACAUCUUUGUAAAUAUUAAAUAUUUUUGGAUGACAUUUAAUUUUACAAUAUUUCACUUUUUUCUCUCUUUUAGGAGGUGAAAAAGAAGUCUAAACCAAGACUUAUACCUAGAUAAAAAUAACUCUCAGAUGGAUUAUCGGUGGGGAGUGGAGCAGUGGCCAGGCUGGGGGAGCUUGUCGUUCCUGUAAGCAAUGGAGUGAUGAUGAAGCUGGUUUGAAUUUGAACAGUGGAGUGCUGAAGCUGGUGGGGUGAUGGUGAGGCUGGAAGUAUCAUGGCAUGAAGGAAGCCUGCUGUCCAAGAGCCUACCCUCUCUCUCCAGCAUAUCCAUGGCAUUUGGAUCCAUAAAGGAGCCACUGGUCCUAGUUCGGAACAGCUCCUCAAUUUGCCGGACUAAAUCGAAGGCCUCUUGUGACGGCCGACAAAGUGCACCUGGCUUGAACUCUUUCAGCUUCAGUAAAACACUGUGCUUUCCUUCAGGACUGUCAUCAUUGUGCUUAAUUGCACUUUGGCAACCCUCACAAAUCUUGGAAUAUUUAAUCACUUUAUGCACGAUGUAGCCUGUAAGGUGGUAGAGAGCACUGAUCUCAGUAUUCGUGAGGUCAGGAGCAGCUCUGCGCGCCAUCAGCUCCUCCACUCUGAGGCCAGGACUGGGAAGUGACUGCUUUGUGUCCAGGAAGUCGGCCAAAAGGCUGUUGUCAUCCUCCUGAUAACUUCCUGUUUUCACAGUCGCGAGAAAACUGCCCAACUGAUAUUGAUUUCAGUGCCUGUUGAAACUCUACUGGAGUUGGGACUGGAUUCCUCUGUCUUAUGCAGCUGAAUAGGUUUUCAAGACUUGGGUAAACCUGCUGAUCAACAAAAACAUGUGUCACUGGGCCAGCAUGUCUUGCUAUAUUGAUAGAAUUGAAGAUGUUGCCAUUACAAUUCCUGUUUGCACAGGCUUCCAGCUACCCGUUCGUCCAAUCUUCAGCCCACGGAAGAGUUGGAUGGUGUCCUGAAGGAACUUGAUGGCCUUUUGGUACUCCUCGAUCUUGUGUGUGCUGAGUGCCAUUACUGGGUGGCGAGAGGACAUGAUGUCAAACCAGUGGUCCACCUGCUCCAGAAACCAUGCUGUGGUCUGGUAAGAGGGUGGUCUUUGUUCCUGCUCCACCAUGUAUUUCAGGCCUGCACUGGUUGCCUUGCUAAAGAUAUUCAUCGCAGGGCCCACCUUCAUCUUCUCAAAAUGACUGGGUUGAAGGGUUUUACUUGAUAGAUUUGGAGCAAUUUUCAAUGUCAUCCCCUCUUGAAAAUCCACCAGAUCUUUCAGUGGACCAACGGAAACUUCAUUGAAGAAGAGUUUCUCCUUCUCUACCGUCUCCGGAGGAAUUGUGAACGUCUGUCCACGGACCAGGCCACUCUUCAAGUUCUUAACAAGAUGUGGAACGUCUGGCAUAAAGUAUAGCCUCCUGUCUGGUCUUACAGGAUGUGGGACAGAUGUUUUGUUGUGAUCCACGCCAAAUGCCUUCCACAUUGCCCGAUUAGGGCUGCCCAUGUCAGUGGUGGCCAAUAGUUAAUGAUCACAGUGUGGCUGAAGCCCAAAAACCAGUCUGCAUUGCUUAGAGCAGUAAUGAUGAAGAUGAGCAGCCACCUGCCAAAAUGCCUAAACUCUUCUCUAAUUACCGGAACAAAGCCAGCAAAAAGAAAGGAGACGUAAGCUUGUCUGUCCGAGCAGAGCUAAUGUGCUACAUUCAGGCAUCUUCUAAUGAAGAUGAUGUUGAUUGUUUGGAAUUUUGGAGUAUCCAUGAUAAAGACUUUCCAAGGCUUAAACAGGUGGCAGUGAGAGUGUUGGCAGUUCCUGCUUCCAGUGCCCCAGUGGAGAGGGUGUUUAGCCAAGGUGGACUCAUUAUACUUCCUCAUCGCUAAGUGCAAAAACACUAUCAAAUUUAAUCUUUCUGAAAUGUAACCAGUCUGCGUAAAACUUUGUCUUUGGACAUGAAAAGAUCUUCUUUUGUCACAGUAGAAGAAAACAGUACUGUAUUGUAAAUAUUUUAGUGUUAUGCAUACCUGCAUAAAACAUUUUACAAUGAAUUUCUCUGAAAAUGUAAAUGUUCUGUUUCAUUGAUUCUUUUGAAUCGAAAUUCUAUGAAAAUUUAAAAUGAAAAUUAUAUGUUUACCAUAUUCUCAUCUCAUAAAUUUGAAAAUAUAUUUGCAUGUCUUAUUAGACAAUGUAGAUCUGCAUUUUAAAUUAAAUGAAGUGGAUCAGAUGUAA